AACCUACCAAUAGCGACAUCCGCUGGCAGCUGACAAUUGGCAAUAGCUCCUUGGUGGGGGGUGUGUGGCCUCAGCAGGGGGCGGGGCCUCAACAGUGGUGUGGCCUUGGUCUUCCCUUUCCAUGGAACUUUUAAGACUUGACCUUAUGCAAGGUGACCACAGCUGCUGGCCAUGCUGCCUCCCGAAGUUAGCAUUUCACAACUAUCUUUCCCAUCCGCAGGCUCUUUUGUUGAACAUUUUCUCUUAAACUAUAAGAACAUUUUAUCUGGAAGAAUCACUUGGAGGUGACUCAAUAUGGAUUAUGCACCGAGGCUCAGUGAGGUACCACAGCGAGCCCAAGCUUCCUUGCUCAGUGCAAAAACCGAAACGGAACCACCACUAACAACAGAACGAAAACGAAAGAAAAACAAACAAUACUAGCAGGAAAACCAGAGACAAAGGUGAGUGCAGCACAGAGAAACCUUAUUUACUGGGCUUUUACUGGGCAUCUGUCAUAUUCCAGGGACCCUAGGAAAUAUUUACUAAAAACUUUUUUUUUUACUAUUUAUUUGCUGUGUAAGGUAUAAGCGUAUGUAUCCACGUGACUCUGUAUGUGUAUGGAUGCCCAUAUGUGUGUGCGCAAAUGUGUACGCAUGUAUGUGGAGGCUUAUUCCCAAGGUUGAUGUUGGGAAUCAUUCUUGAUCACUUUUAUACCUUAUUAAUGGAGGCAGCGUUUUCCAGGCAAACCCAGAGCUUAGGAAUGUGGCUAAUUUUCGUAUCCGGCCUUCCAGAUCCCCCAGUCUCUGCUUUCUGAAGCUAGAAUCACAUCCAGGCUGCAAUGCUUGACGGAUGUGUACUCGGGUUUCUGGGGAUCUGAACUCUGGUCCUCAUGCUUGGGUAGCAUUAACCACUGAGCAGUCUUCCCAGUCCUGCGGGACACUUCGGUGCACAAAACUUCUCUGGGUCUGGAGCAGAACCCUCAAGAAAGCAUUGGUAACUCCACUUUACAGAGAAAUGGAGGGUCGUGGAGCGAACUGGGUUAUCUGAGUGAAGCAUUAAACUCUCUUUCAGGGCAUCUCUAAGGCGGGCUUUUGUCUAAAGGACCCAGACAGGAUAUCGGGUGUAGCUUCUAGACAAGUGCCCAAAUCUCCUUCUCCCCCUACCUCCGAGACACCCAUGCAACCCACAACCCCGGCAGAGUCUGUUUCUGAUGACCGCCACAUCCCCUGCCUGGCUCAUUCCAUCUCUCUGCAUGCCUCAGCCUGCAAAAUGCCAGCAGACCUAGCUAAUGUUCCUGAACGGCCCCUUCUGAGAGACUCGGACAACAGCCUAGUUAUCUCCGACCAAUAGCAGGCCAGCUCCCCGCUUGGGCACCUCAUCUAGAUGCAUUUCAGUUUUUCAGGAGUGUCAACCAGGCCUCCGAGAGCUGCUGUGAAGGUAAUUAGGAAAUUUGGCCAUGGAGACCCUGCUCUCCUACUCCGUGGGAGUGAAAGAGGGGUGACGCAGGGCUCACAGGUACCACUCUCCGCCCCCAGCAGCUGGCCGAAUCAUGCAGCUGGGAGAAAAAUCACAGCCCCAGGUGAGAAGGGAGGGGACAGGGACGGAAGGGAAGGCGCUGCCAUAGAACUCUGGACUGUGUAGUUAAUUUCCUAUCUGUCUUUAAAAGAAGCUAGAGGCUGGGUGAGGUUGCCUUCUCUCCUUUCCUCCAGUCACAGCCCUUUCCUGUUUGCCUCUUUCGUUUCCAGACUCUCCCACAAUCGGUGAACACAGAUAUAUUAAGAUGCCAUUAUGGCUCCUCUAUCCACCAAACCCAGAGCCCAUCUUUGCUGCCUCCCUUUUCUUUUUGUUAAUUUGUUAAAUGUCACGUGCUGUAUCUAUGUAUCCUGUUUGCCAUUGGUUGUUGGCUCUUCCCUGAGGCCACUGUAUGGCCAGGGUUUGCCUCCAUGUCUGACAUCCUCUUUCCAGGAAGGUCUUUUCUGAACGCCUCUCUGUAUCUACGUGACAACCUCUCACAUCCAGUAGAACACACCCCCUCAACACUUUCCAAGCAUUUAUCUUGGUGUGCCAUUCCUUUGCUGCUUGAUAUUUUAUGGGGUGUCUUCUAACACUGGAAGAGGAGCCAGGCAAGCCUAGAGACUUUUCUUGUCUGCCCAUCACGGGGUUCCCAUCACCAGGACAGGGGUGAAAACGUCACCUGUUAAAUGCGUGAACAAAUGCUGGGUGUGAAGCUGAUUGAUUUAUAAAUCAUCUCUUGUUGCUCCUCUCCACAUGUACUGUUCAGCGUUCUUUCACCCUCAGUUUAUUGGAGAGCAGCCUGAGAGACCAACUGUUUACACAGACCACUCUGUCUCCCACUGCCAGGACUCAAUCAACAAGCAACUCCUCCAAGAAAUAAGUUUACUCCGGCUUCUGGCUCAGGACCAACUGGAGACUCUCAAGUGUGCAUUUGCCACGGAUCAGGCAGGAUGCUCAUCGAGAGGAGCCUCUGCCAGCAUCUGUUGCUGAACCCCAGUCGGGGCAUGCCUAACGUCGUCUUGGUCUUCUGCUGUAAGCCUCUUCCAUCCCUCUGCCUUCCUCUGCAUCUGGUUAGAUUCAAGCGUUGCGACUGACCCCGUCGUUAUAGAAAACCUUGAGCAAAUGGCUUUUAUUUGUUCAUAUUUGGGUGGUCUUUGCGUGUUUACCCUAAGUGGUGGUUUGAAUGAGAAUGGCCCACACAGGCUCAAGUGUUUGAAUGUUUGGUGGAACUGUUCGGGAAAGAUUAGGAGGUGUGGCCUUGGGGGAGAGGUGUGUCAGUGGGGUUGAGGUUUGAGAGAGCUUCCGUUCCCAGUUAGCUCUCUGCCUCAUGCUUGUGGAUCAGGAUGUAAGCUCUCAGGUACUGCUCCAGCACUGCGCCUGCCUGCCUGCUGCCUGCUGCCAUGUUGUUCACCAUGACAGGAUGGAUUUUAAGCCUCCGAAACUCUAAACCCCCAAUAAACUCUUCCUUUU
Molecule: non-coding RNA, 2964 nt
Organism: Rattus norvegicus (Norway rat)
Lineage: Eukaryota; Metazoa; Chordata; Mammalia; Rodentia; Muridae
Source: RefSeq, a predicted model, not a curated record